CCUACGUGAGGCAGCAGUGAGGAAUAUUGGUCAAUGGGCGAGAGCCUGAACCAGCCAAGUCGCGUGAGGGAGUACUGCCCUAUGGGUUGUAAACCUCUUUUGUCGGGGAGCAAAAGCCGGACGUGUCCGGCUGUGAUAGUACCCGAAGAAAAAGCAUCGGCUAACUCCGUUCCAGCAGCCGCGGUAAUACGGAGGAUGCGAGCGUUAUCCGGGUUUAUUGGGUUUAAAGGGUGCGCAGGCGGAUUUUUAAGUCAGCGGUCAAAUCGUGGGGAUCAACCCCAUCUAGCCGUGGAAACUGGGGGUCGAGAGUGUGCGAGAGGUAUGCGGAAUGCGUGGUGUAGCGGUGAAAUGCAUAGAUAUCACGCAGAACCCCGAUUGCGAAGGCAGCAUACCGGUGCACAACUGACGCUCAGGCACGAAAGCGUGGGUAUCGAACAGGAUUAGAUACCCUAGUAGUC
This 458-nucleotide ribosomal RNA is filed under the name uncultured bacterium. RNAcentral's name for it is "partial 16S ribosomal RNA". It matches the Rfam family "Bacterial small subunit ribosomal RNA", at positions 338 to 795 of the family's 1533-position model. The record is from RNAcentral.